This 2218-nucleotide long non-coding RNA is filed under the name Brassica napus (rape). Its description in RNAcentral is "long non-coding RNA (BNAP_LNC002087)". Lineage: Eukaryota; Viridiplantae; Streptophyta; Magnoliopsida; Brassicales; Brassicaceae. The record is from RNAcentral.
UAGGCUGCAGUUGAUGCUGCGACAAGGAACUUGGCAUUGGAGUGGGGAACUGACUACGAGAUUAGAGUGAACGGGAUUGCACCAGGCCCUAUUGGAGGUACACCUGGAAUGAGUAAACUUGGACCAGACGAGAUUGAGAACAAAGCAGGAGAUUAUAUACCUCUCUACAAACUUGGUGAGAAGUGGGAUAUCGCCAUGGCUGCACUCUACCUCAGCUGUGAUUCCGGUAUGUUGAGUUUAAAUCAUAGUCUUUUACUUUUGAAACAGUAUAUAAAUUGGUUAGAUGAUGAAAGAUUUGGCUGAUUUUGGUUAACAGGGAAGUAUGUGAAUGGACUGACAAUGGUGGUAGAUAAUGGACAGUGGCUUAGCAGACCUCGUCAUCUUCCCAAAGAAGCUGUCAAGGAACUCUCCCGUGUUGUGGAGAAGAGGUCCAGGGCCAAGCCGACCAGUAAACUUUAAAGUUCCAGUUCCCAAAUUAGUACAUAUCAGAUAAUUCGGAUACUUUUAAAUAUUUAAGAUAAAAAACUAUUUUGAUAGUUUAAAAUUUUGGGUAAUUUGGUUUAUAAAUAAUAUUUUUAGGAUAUUAAGAUUUAGAUACCAAAUAUAAUUGAUACUUUUAGGUAUAUUAUCUGUAUUUUAAAAAUUCGGAUAUCAGUUCAAGUUCAAUUUUAAUUUUUCGGUUUUAGAAAUAUAAGAUUCAUGCAACUUAACCAGUGGUGGUAGUCCAGUGGCGCUUGAGGGAUUAAACCCAAUACGGCGAACCCUGGUUCGAACCUCGCUGGCCACACGGAUAUGGGCUAUUGCUUUCGGCUCAUUUGAAUGCCCAGGAGAAGAUCUAUCCGUGGGCUAUACCUCCACCCGGAGGUUAGGUCUGUGUCUUUAAUAGAUCUGGGUUAACCUUUUUUUGUCAAAAAAAAAAAAUCAUGCAGCUUGGUUUGGUUUCGGCUAUUCGGUUGGGUACGGUUCAGUUAUUCAAUUCCAAUAAAUGUGCCCAUGUCUGUGACAGGUGAUGGAAGUCAGUAGAAGCGAAACGAAACACGAGUGGUCUUUUGCCUUAUCAUUUUGUAUUCUUCUUUUCUUCUUCUUUCUUCUUCUUAGCUUUUACGUGUCGUGUCUCUUGAACCGUGAUCAUGGACUCUCCGUUCAAGCCCGAUGUACUCAAAGGCAAGGUUGCUCUCAUCACCGGCGGCGGAUCCGGCAUCGGUUUCGAGAUCUCCUCUCAGUUCGGCAAACAUGGAGCUUCCAUCGCCAUCAUGGGUCGCCGCAAACAAGUCCUCGACGCCGCCGUCUCUGAUCUCCGAUCUCUCGGGAUUCCGGUAACUCCUCGAAAGUUUGUUUCUUUUUCGAUUGCUUGUUUAGUUAAUUCACUCUCUCUCUCUCUCUCUCUGUUUGCAUGUGUCUCUUAGGCUGUUGGGUUUGAAGGUGAUGUUCGUAAGCCAGAGGAUGCGAGAAGAGUCGUUGAAUCAACUUUUAACCAUUUCGGUAAGGUUGAUAUUCUCGUCAACGCCGCCGCUGGAAACUUCCUUGCCGCAGCUGAGGAUUUGUCCACCAAUGGGUUCCGAACAGGUGAACUCUCAUCCACCCUUCUGUUCACUUUGAGUCUUGUCUAUGGCUAAAGGAAACAUCUUUUUGGUGUGUUGCUGUUUUGUAGUUUUGGAUAUUGAUGCUGUAGGAACAUUCAACAUGUGCCGUGAAGCACUCAAGUAUCUUAAGAAAGGAGGACCUGGUAGAGACGCAUCAAGCGGUGGUGGUUCGAUUCUCAACAUUAGUGCUACUCUGCACUACACUGCUUCUUGGUACCAAAUCCAUGUCUCUGCAGCCAAGGUAAUUCAUUAGUCUUCAGGAACUAAGUUUGGGAAGAAACAAUCAAAAUGUAACAAAUGUUUUUUUUUUUUGAAAUAGGCUGCAGUUGAUGCUGCGACAAGGAACUUGGCAUUGGAGUGGGGAACUGACUACGAGAUUAGAGUGAACGGGAUUGCACCAGGCCCUAUUGGAGGUACACCUGGAAUGAGUAAACUUGGACCAGACGAGAUUGAGAACAAAGCAGGAGAUUAUAUACCUCUCUACAAACUUGGUGAGAAGUGGGAUAUCGCCAUGGCUGCACUCUACCUCAGCUGUGAUUCCGGUAUGUUGAGUUUAAAUCAUAGUCUUUUACUUUUGAAACAGUAUAUAAAUUGGUUAGAUGAUGAAAGAUUUGGCUGAUUUUGGUUAACAGGGA